RNAcentral lists this ribosomal RNA (253 nucleotides) under uncultured bacterium. Its description in RNAcentral is "partial 16S ribosomal RNA". It matches the Rfam family "Bacterial small subunit ribosomal RNA", at positions 524 to 776 of the family's 1533-position model. The record is from RNAcentral.
UACGUAGGUGGCAAGCGUUGUCCGGAUUUACUGGGCGUAAAGAGCGCGCAGGCGGUCGUUCAAGUCGCGUGUGGAAGCCCCCGGCUCAACUGGGGAGGGUCACGCGAUACUGAUCGACUCGAAGGCAGGAGAGGGUAGUGGAAUUCCCGGUGUAGUGGUGAAAUGCGUAGAUAUCGGGAGGAACACCAGUGGCGAAGGCGGCACUCUGGGCCGGAACUGACGCUGAGGAGCGAAAGCGUGGGGAGCAAACAGG